RNAcentral lists this ribosomal RNA (1506 nucleotides) under metagenome. RNAcentral's name for it is "bacterial SSU rRNA". It matches the Rfam family "Bacterial small subunit ribosomal RNA". The record is from RNAcentral.
AGAGUUUGAUCCUGGCUCAGGACGAACGCUGGCGGCGUGCCUAAUACAUGCAAGUAGAACGCUGAAGAGAGGAGCUUGCUCUUCUUGGAUGAGUUGCGAACGGGUGAGUAACGCGUAGGUAACCUGCCUUGUAGCGGGGGAUAACUAUUGGAAACGAUAGCUAAUACCGCAUAACAAUGGAUGACCCAUGUCAUUUAUUUGAAAGGGGCAAAUGCUCCACUACAAGAUGGACCUGCGUUGUAUUAGCUAGUAGGUGAGGUAACGGCUCACCUAGGCGACGAUACAUAGCCGACCUGAGAGGGUGAUCGGCCACACUGGGACUGAGACACGGCCCAGACUCCUACGGGAGGCAGCAGUAGGGAAUCUUCGGCAAUGGGGGCAACCCUGACCGAGCAACGCCGCGUGAGUGAAGAAGGUUUUCGGAUCGUAAAGCUCUGUUGUAAGUCAAGAACGAGUGUGAGAGUGGAAAGUUCACACUGUGACGGUAGCUUACCAGAAAGGGACGGCUAACUACGUGCCAGCAGCCGCGGUAAUACGUAGGUCCCGAGCGUUGUCCGGAUUUAUUGGGCGUAAAGCGAGCGCAGGCGGUUUGAUAAGUCUGAAGUUAAAGGCUGUGGCUCAACCAUAGUUCGCUUUGGAAACUGUCAAACUUGAGUGCAGAAGGGGAGAGUGGAAUUCCAUGUGUAGCGGUGAAAUGCGUAGAUAUAUGGAGGAACACCGGUGGCGAAAGCGGCUCUCUGGUCUGUAACUGACGCUGAGGCUCGAAAGCGUGGGGAGCGAACAGGAUUAGAUACCCUGGUAGUCCACGCCGUAAACGAUGAGUGCUAGGUGUUGGAUCCUUUCCGGGAUUCAGUGCCGCAGCUAACGCAUUAAGCACUCCGCCUGGGGAGUACGACCGCAAGGUUGAAACUCAAAGGAAUUGACGGGGGCCCGCACAAGCGGUGGAGCAUGUGGUUUAAUUCGAAGCAACGCGAAGAACCUUACCAGGUCUUGACAUCCCGAUGCUAUUUCUAGAGAUAGAAAGUUACUUCGGUACAUCGGUGACAGGUGGUGCAUGGUUGUCGUCAGCUCGUGUCGUGAGAUGUUGGGUUAAGUCCCGCAACGAGCGCAACCCCUAUUGUUAGUUGCCAUCAUUCAGUUGGGCACUCUAGCGAGACUGCCGGUAAUAAACCGGAGGAAGGUGGGGAUGACGUCAAAUCAUCAUGCCCCUUAUGACCUGGGCUACACACGUGCUACAAUGGUUGGUACAACGAGUUGCGAGUCGGUGACGGCAAGCUAAUCUCUUAAAGCCAAUCUCAGUUCGGAUUGUAGGCUGCAACUCGCCUACAUGAAGUCGGAAUCGCUAGUAAUCGCGGAUCAGCACGCCGCGGUGAAUACGUUCCCGGGCCUUGUACACACCGCCCGUCACACCACGAGAGUUUGUAACACCCGAAGUCGGUGAGGUAACCAUUUGGAGCCAGCCGCCUAAGGUGGGAUAGAUGAUUGGGGUGAAGUCGUAACAAGGUA